AGCUCCCUUCAGUGCACUUGGAGACGGCACGUCCAACAGCUGGGGAAGCACAGUGGAGAGCCAUGCAUGUCCGUGCCGGAGGUUCCUGCACUCCCACUUCUGUGCUUCAACACAUAAUCAGAAAUACAGGAAGCCAUCCCAGGCAAAUGAAGGUGCUACUUGUAAAAUAAAGGCACCUUGCUAGAGUGAUGGCUACGAGUGCUUCUAGACCUCAACUGUCUCCAAUAAACACAGAGUUUUGGCAGGUGAGCCACACAUCAACCUGCUGGAGUGCCAGCAUCCUGGAUACCUGCAAACCAGACACCCACUGUGACAACUGACAACUGGAGGUUCUUCUGAUGCAGAUUCGUGUGUGUUUACAGAGUAUGUACUAAUACAAAUAACGUUACAUCCGCAUUCACACGUGAAUUAAAAUAGCUGCUAGAUAUCUCUC
This is a long non-coding RNA of Gekko japonicus, 433 nucleotides long. RefSeq lists it as uncharacterized. The transcript has 3 exons. Lineage: Eukaryota; Metazoa; Chordata; Lepidosauria; Squamata; Gekkonidae. The record is from RefSeq and is a predicted model, not a curated record.